Non-coding RNA from Ochotona princeps (American pika), 127 nucleotides. Lineage: Eukaryota; Metazoa; Chordata; Mammalia; Lagomorpha; Ochotonidae. The record is from Rfam.
UACUCAGAGCUGGACUCCAGGCCCCCUGCCCCCUCCCCCCUUCCAGCCGCUGUUGUUACGUGGAGUUUGGAGCUUAAGCUUUGAAAACUCCAAGUGGCGCCUGUCUGAAGUCGGAGCAUGCUCAGUA